Nerophis ophidion (straightnose pipefish) is the source of this 389-nucleotide long non-coding RNA. RefSeq lists it as uncharacterized. The transcript is spliced from 3 exons. Lineage: Eukaryota; Metazoa; Chordata; Actinopteri; Syngnathiformes; Syngnathidae. The record is from RefSeq and is a predicted model, not a curated record.
GGAACCUCUUGAGUGGUUUGAGUGAAAGCUCCUCUUUGACAGCACGUUUUCUUCCAUUAUUUUAUUCCUUUUUUUUUUCCCGGAGCAAAACUCUCCUUUUUCGCCGAAAGUCUGCUCAAAGGUGCCGGAACCAGCCUGACAUGAAGAAGAGAGACGCCAGAAGCCCGCUGAAGUCAGACGCUGAGACGCAGAGAAGACUGACCGGCUGUGCCUGCAAAGACCAAUGUCCUGGCUUCACGGCGCACAAAUGGAGAACAUGUCGUGGGGCCUAUAAACAAAGCAGCUGAAGGUUGAAAAUGGCUCCCAGCUCUACACUUUGGACUAUGGCUACAACUAUUUCAAUUGUCAACGAUUCGAUUUUAACUCGUUUUUAGAACCCAUUAUAAAGA